This 2647-nucleotide long non-coding RNA is filed under the name Eutrema salsugineum. RNAcentral's name for it is "long non-coding RNA (ESAL_LNC001724)". Lineage: Eukaryota; Viridiplantae; Streptophyta; Magnoliopsida; Brassicales; Brassicaceae. The record is from RNAcentral.
AUGUCAAGUGUGCUGGAAAGCUCGCUGCUCCAUCUCUAAUAUCUCCAAAUUUGAGCUGGAUCAGACGGUAAGAAGGUCUUCAUUUAAGGGUGUACUUCUGACGGUUUGACUCCGAGCUAAAUAUCUGAUAUUAUAUCCAUUUUGCAAAGCUUUUUCCUAAGUUUUCUGGAAAAAGUCUUGAAACUACAAAUAUUAAAAAAUUAUAAUAAAAAAACUUAAGAGAAAUAAAAAGUAUAAGAAAAGCAUUUAAAAACGAUCCAUAAAAGUGAACAAAAUACGGUGUUAUCAACUCCCUCAAUCUUUUGUUUGUCCUCAAACAAACCAAAAAUCAGAGCAAGAUGAAGUGAAAACAAAAAUAGGGAAUGCACAAAUCUCAAAGACAUGAAUCUCUAAACUAUGACCAUUGAUCGUACAACAAUCGCAACUUAGUCUAGAAAAUUCUCACCAAGAUACAAAAGAUACUAGUCCACUUUUUCCGUUAUGCAAAAUCUAAACAAUCUAAAUCUCAAUUCUAGUCAACUAGCUCUCUACAUUCAUUACGUGCAAAGUGUAAAUUUCUCAUCAAAGACAUCAUUCAGGAUAAAUGGGCGUUUGGCAUUAAAGGCUAUUUAAGUGGUGAAAUUAAAGUGUUUAGGGUUACCUAAAGAUCUGAGGAUGCUACUUAUUAUACAAAACCGCAAGAGAGAAUGGACCUGUUGAUGCCCACAAUUUUCAGUCACUCUUCCUUGCCAAGUGUUGUUGCAUAACCCAUGCUCCUUUAUUGUAAACAACUACUUCCCAUAGACAUAGAUCUUUUCAGGCAUCAAUAAGAUGAUCUCCAAAAACUCCAAAUAAUCAAACCAAGGCUUGCCUCAAAGAUAAAAAAUUGAUCCUCCUAGACUCUCUAAAGUUUUUAUUUCCUUUUCUUUCUCUUUUUUCUUUUCUUUUUUUUUUUGAAAAAAAAAUUCUCUUUUUUUUCUCUUUUUUUUUUUGAAAGAGGAAACACUUUUUAUUAUAAGAGAGAGUCUAAGUGACGAAAAUAUACCAAUGUUUUGAAGUAUUUCUGAGGCAAACCAAGCUUCCUCCUUUGAUGAAUCAUUCAAGAAAUCGCAGGUCUCUGUCUUCAGUGACUGAAAACUGCGUUGAUCCUUUUUUUCUCCGACAUUUUUGCACAUAUUUGCAUAUAGGACAAUGAAAAACAAGAAUGCAUGUGGUUUCAAAGAGGUUGGGUAAGGUGGGGAACUAGGUAAAAAUGAAAUAGCUAUUCAAGAUCAACAAAAAGUGGUAAAAGGAUAAAGGAGUCAUGAAUGUAUGAUUUGUUUCCCUGAUCUAAUGCUUCAAUGAGAAAGAUAAGUCAAUGUUAAGUCUAGAUAAAAACAGAGCUAGUAUAUUCUUUAAUCUAAAUCAAAAUCAUUCAAAUUCCUCUAGGGUACUUUUUUCAAAUGUGCUUAGCUACCGUCUAGUAUAGUCCUAAAUCACGAAUGACCAUGCCACUAGGGAAUAGUCUAAAAGCACAGUCAACUAUCAUCGAUUUAUGUUCAACAUCCACCCAAAAGGUGUUUGAUGAAAUGUCUGAACCAGCUAAAUCAAGAGUCUAUUGUUUGAUUCACAUGGAAAUGCUGUUUUGAGCAUAGAUGGUAUAUUAGGAUUAGUGUUUAAUGCAUUCCUUUCAUUGUUCCUCUAAUAAUAAUUAGGUAUGAGUAAUGUUUGAAAUCGUGUUUUGAUGCUUGAGAAAGAUUGAAACUUGAAAUGAAUCCUAAGCUGCAGAGAUCAUUAAUCAUCAGUGUCAUUAACUCUUUGAUUAAACCCUGAUGUACCCUAGCUAACUAUCAUGUUUAGAACUCUAUUGUUUCAUCAUCUUAAUCAUUUGUUGCUCUUGUUUAUUGCGUGUUUAAGUCUUUAAUCUAGUUUAAACUGUCUUUAGUCUCUUGUUUGAAAUCAAAACCAUCUUGUUUGCUGAAAUUAGGAUACAAACCUCAUAGAUUAGUGAACUAAACCACAUUGUUGGACUGACACUCUUUAUGCUACAACAGAUAAAGGGAUUGAUACCCUAAGAGCCUUGAAAACUCUUGUUUAUCAAUUGGUGAUGUUUCCAAAGUGUGGAUUUAGCAUUAGUCUCUGGUUUGUUCUUGAGUAAAGUGCUUAUUUUUUGUUUUAUUGAUUAAAUCUACAAGUUCUGAAGUUUCAGGUUUAUGUCCAAUAGACCAAGGACCAUAAGCAGAAGUUGUGAGCUAGCUGAACCAUUCUUUGACAAUAUUUACCUGGUAGAGAGAGAGCUGCUAGAAGAGCAAGGGAAAGAGCAGCACAUCUUGAGAGGUUGUGUAUGGAUCAGCAGCAAGUCAGAGAUGAAAAUCAGGGUCAGGGAGUUGGUAUUGGAGCUCUCAUGGGAUUAGAGUACAGGUUCCACAGUCACAGGUCCAUCAAGGAUAAGCUCAGGGAAACCAGAACCAGCAAGGGCAUCAGGUCAAUUAACAGUCCCACCCACAACCUCCCAGGCGUCAAGAGCCAAACCCUGUCUUUAAUGGUGAUAACUUGACUUUUUAAGUCUUGUUUAGGGUUAUCAAUCCUCUAUCAUUGUAGUAAUGAAGAGGUAUCAAUCCAUAAUUGUGGUUAGACACUAGCUUAUGAUGCUUUGUAGCUUUUAAGUCAAGCGCAAUCAAGAAGAUGG